GUGGGAUGACGUCAAGUCCUCAUGGCCUUUAUGCCCAGGGCUACACACGUGCUACAAUGGGUGGUACAAAGAGAUGCAAUCUCGCAAGAGCAAGCAAACCUCAAAAAGCCAUCCUCAGUUCGGAUUGGAGUCUGCAACUCGACUCCAUGAAGUCGGAAUCGCUAGUAAUCGCGGAUCAGCACGCCGCGGUGAAUACGUUCCCGGGCCUU
This 209-nucleotide ribosomal RNA is filed under the name uncultured Gelria sp. RNAcentral describes it as "partial 16S ribosomal RNA". It matches the Rfam family "Bacterial small subunit ribosomal RNA", at positions 1174 to 1382 of the family's 1533-position model. The record is from RNAcentral. Lineage: Bacteria; Bacillati; Bacillota; Clostridia; Thermoanaerobacterales; Thermoanaerobacteraceae.